AAGUCGUAACAAGGUUUCCGUAGGUGAACCUGCGGAAGGAUCAUUACAGUAGUCGCCCGGGUUGCCGCAAGGCCUCCCGGGUAACCUACCACCCUUUGUUUAUUACACUUUGUUGCUUUGGCAAGCCUGCCCUCGGGCUGCUGGCUCCGGCCGGCGAGCGCUUGCCAGAGGACCUAAACUCUGUUUGUCUAUACUGUCUGAGUACUAUAUAAUAGUUAAAACUUUCAACAACGGAUCUCUUGGUUCUGGCAUCGAUGAAGAACGCAGCGAAAUGCGAUAAGUAAUGUGAAUUGCAGAAUUCAGUGAAUCAUCGAAUCUUUGAACGCACAUUGCGCCCCCUGGUAUUCCGGGGGGCAUGCCUGUCCGAGCGUCAUUACAACCCUCAAGCUCAGCUUGGUGUUGGGCCCCGCCGCCCCGGCGGGCCCUAAAGUCAGUGGCGGUGCCGUCCGGCUCCGAGCGUAGUAAUUCUUCUCGCUCUGGAGGUCCGGUCGUGUGCUCGCCAGCAACCCCCAAUUUUUUUCAGGUUGACCUCGGAUCAGGUAGGGAUACCCGCUGAACUUAA
This 562-nucleotide ribosomal RNA is filed under the name uncultured fungus. RNAcentral describes it as "eukaryotic LSU rRNA". The stretch from base 220 to 373 matches the Rfam family "5.8S ribosomal RNA". Lineage: Eukaryota; Fungi. The record is from RNAcentral.